This 340-nucleotide unclassified non-coding RNA is filed under the name soil metagenome. RNAcentral describes it as "partial contains 5.8S ribosomal RNA, internal transcribed spacer 2, and large subunit ribosomal RNA". The stretch from base 1 to 120 matches the Rfam family "5.8S ribosomal RNA", at positions 35 to 154 of the family's 154-position model. The record is from RNAcentral.
GAUGAAGAACGUAGCGAAAUGCGAUAAGUAGUGUGAAUUGCAGAAUUCAGUGAAUCAUCGAAUCUUUGAACGCACAUUGCGCCCCUUGGUAUUCCAUGGGGCAUGCCUGUUCGAGCGUCAUUUGUACCCUCAAGCUAUGCUUGGUGUUGGGUGGUUGUCCUCUCCUUUGCGAUUGGACUCGCCUUAAAGACAUUGGCAGCCAGUGUAUUGGUCUUGAAGCGCAGCACAUUUUGCGAUUCUUGCUGAUAAUCACUAGCGUCCAGUAAGCCUAUUUUAACACUUUUGACCUCGGAUCAGGUAGGGAUACCCGCUGAACUUAAGCAUAUCAAUAAGCGGAGGA